UCCACACUGGGACUGAGACACGGCCCAGACUCCUACGGGAGGCAGCAGUGGGGAAUAUUGCACAAUGGGCGCAAGCCUGAUGCAGCGACGCCGCGUGAGGGAUGACGGCCUUCGGGUUGUAAACCUCUUUCAGUAGGGAAGAAGCGAAAGUGACGGUACCUGCAGAAGAAGCGCCGGCUAACUACGUGCCAGCAGCCGCGGUAAUAC
This 207-nucleotide ribosomal RNA is filed under the name Arthrobacter sp. B111. RNAcentral's name for it is "partial 16S ribosomal RNA". It matches the Rfam family "Bacterial small subunit ribosomal RNA", at positions 307 to 526 of the family's 1533-position model. The record is from RNAcentral. Lineage: Bacteria; Bacillati; Actinomycetota; Actinomycetes; Micrococcales; Micrococcaceae.